Long non-coding RNA from Bombina bombina (fire-bellied toad), 421 nucleotides. RefSeq lists it as uncharacterized. NCBI's taxonomy places the organism in Eukaryota, Metazoa, Chordata, Amphibia, Anura, Bombinatoridae. The transcript has 4 exons. The record is from RefSeq and is a predicted model, not a curated record.
CACUCAUCCCUACAGAGAAAAUCAUAUAGAGAACUCAAAGCAGUUGAAAAAAGAAAACCCAGGAAAGUAAAACCUUUCUGAGCAACAACUUAAACACCAGUAAAAUUCAAAAGACGAGAAGCAGUUUGGGCACCAAGCAGUGAACAUCCCGGUCAACACUGGAGGGGAGAACAGAUAGACAACUUGACUUAAAGUUAACACCCAGCACACCAUGGGGAAAGAGCCCAGUAGAAGAGACCAAUCAAUAUUUUACUCGACUUGCUCCAACAUCUCCAGGAAGUCCAGACACACCCUCUUCACCAUCUGUUAUGCAGUCUUCAAGUCCACUCCCACUACAGGCUUCACACCAAGCAUCUGUCAGACAUCGAAGGGAACCAAUUACGGUGCAAACCUAUGAUGAUGUGGUUUCAUCACGUCUGUC